GAGUCUGUAGCCUAGUUGGUUAAGGCAUCACUCUAGUAAACUGAGGUUGUGAGUUUGACUCUCACCAGACACA
RNAcentral lists this transfer RNA (73 nucleotides) under Puccinia triticina 1-1 BBBD Race 1. RNAcentral describes it as "tRNA-Thr (AGT) (tRNA-Thr-AGT-23-1)". It matches the Rfam family "tRNA". From Rfam's summary of the family: Transfer RNA (tRNA) molecules are approximately 80 nucleotides in length. The record is from RNAcentral. Lineage: Eukaryota; Fungi; Basidiomycota; Pucciniomycetes; Pucciniales; Pucciniaceae.